RNAcentral lists this long non-coding RNA (1306 nucleotides) under Equus caballus (horse). RNAcentral describes it as "lncRNA (ENSECAG00000055561.1)". The record is from RNAcentral. Lineage: Eukaryota; Metazoa; Chordata; Mammalia; Perissodactyla; Equidae.
UGUGAUCACAGCGCGUGGGCUUUCGCAUCGGGCCUCUUUCACUUAGUGCGCUGUCUUCCAGGUCUGUUGCACUGUAGCGUGUCAGCACCUCACUCCUUUGUGUGGUGUUCCCUUGCUGCACAGACCACACCUCUUCUGUCCGUUCAUCAGUCAAUGGGCAUUUGUGCUGUGUCUUCUUUUUGGCUGUUACGGAGACUGCUGCAGUGAACACUCAGGGACUUGCUUUGACUUGAACUACGUUAUCAUUUCUCCUGGGUGGAGGCACCAGGACUGGCUGAUGGACGAGGUGGUGCAGACACCCGGGGACAGACAGAGAGACAACUCCAGCCAGGUCUGCCCCUGAGCAGUGGCCCAUGGCCUGGUGGCAGGGAGCUCACAUUCUCAUCUUACACCUUAAGUCAGGAGUGAGAGAAGCAGCUUUACUGAUCAACUACUCUGCGCCAGACACGGGACAUCAGAGCAAUAGGGUUCCUGGUCUGCUGCAUUGCUGCACCUCGGCCAUUUGUCAAGGAGCCUCUGUGCUGUCGUGGCACUGGGGACCUACAGUGAACCUACACAUCCCUUGUCCUCACGGGGGCUUCCUCCUAACGAGGAAGGCAGAGACGGUGAACAGAUGCCGCCCUUCCUCCCUGUGUGGGGUCUGCUUUCCUUCAGGCUUCUUGAGAAUGGCCUUGGAGAGUCAUCCAGCUGACAGAGAGCUGUCUGCACCUUGUCCCUGUCCCCUGGGGCAAAGAGACAGCACGAGUUUCUGCUGGCCAUACUGGUCCUCCAUCACCUGCCAGCAGAGGGGACAGUGUGGUGGGCACCGAUGCCCACUUGGAAUUGCUGGACAGGACUCUAGUGUCCUUCUAGAACAAGGGGUUUCCAUUCAGGCAGCUGCAGCACACGUUACUGGGAACUCCCUGCUUUGGGUCUUAUUUGCUGUUGGCUAGAGUGCCGGGUGGGGGAGGUUGGGCGCUGCCAGGGGAGUCCACCUGCGACAAUGGGCCUGGAUGUGCGAGGAGCAAAGGGAAGGCUCCCUGCUCCUUUUGAAAAUAAUAAUCCAUCAAUUUGUGGACACUCAUUUUUUCCAUUUUAAAAUUGUGACUUAAACACAGAAAAGAUACACACAAAAUAUCUAUUCAUGCAUAUGCAUAUGUGUGCAUGUAUACAGUUUAAAGCUGCAUGUAGUAUAGAUGUCUGCAUUCUCCACCCACGUCAGUAGAUGGGACAUUUCCAGCAGUCCAAAAGCAUUCAUGUCCCUCCUGACAAAGGCCCCUCUCCCUGGGGUGACAGGUGCCCUGACUAUUGUGACAGUCGUGGUCCC